RNAcentral lists this ribosomal RNA (432 nucleotides) under uncultured bacterium. RNAcentral describes it as "partial 16S ribosomal RNA". It matches the Rfam family "Bacterial small subunit ribosomal RNA", at positions 29 to 507 of the family's 1533-position model. The record is from RNAcentral.
ACGAACGCUGGCGGCCUGCCUCACCCAUGCAAGUCGCACGCGACCUUCGGGUCUAGUGGCGCACGGGUGCGUAACGCGUGGGAACCUGCCCUUAGGUUCGGAAUAACUCCCCGAAAGGGGUGCUAAUACCGGAUAAUGUCUUCGGACCAAAGAUUUAUCGCCUUUGGAUGGGCCCGCGUUGGAUUAGCUAGUUGGUAGGGUAAAAGCCUACCAAGGCGACGAUCCAUAGCUGGUCUGAGAGGAUGAUCAGCCACACUGGGACUGAGACACGGCCCAGACUCCUACGGGAGGCAGCAGUGGGGAAUAUUGGACAAUGGGCGAAAGCCUGAUCCAGCAAUGCCGCGUGAGUGAUGAAGGCCUUAGGGUUGUAAAGCUCUUUUACCCGGGAUGAUAAUGACAGUACCGGGAGAAUAAGCUCCGGCUAACUCCGUG